UGCGUAGGCGGUUUGGAAAGUCAGAUGUGAAAGCCUAUGGCUUAACCAUAGAACUGCAUUUGAAACUUCCAGACUAGAAUACUGAAGGGGCAGAUGGAAUUAGUGGUGUAGGGGUAAAAUCCGUAGAUAUCACUAGGAAUACCGAAAGCGGAAGCGAUCUGCUGGGAAGUUAUUGACGCUGAGGCACGAAAGCGUGGGGAGCAAACG
This 207-nucleotide ribosomal RNA is filed under the name uncultured bacterium. RNAcentral's name for it is "partial 16S ribosomal RNA". It matches the Rfam family "Bacterial small subunit ribosomal RNA", at positions 568 to 774 of the family's 1533-position model. The record is from RNAcentral.